GAGGAAUAUUGGGCAAUGGGGGAAACCCUGACCCAGCAACGCCGCGUGAAGGAAGAAGGCUUUCGGGUUGUAAACUUCUUUUACCAGGGACGAAGAAAGUGACGGUACCUGGAGAAAAAGCCACGGCUAACUACGUGCCAGCAGCCGCGGUAAUACGUAGGUGGCGAGCGUUGUCCGGAUUUACUGGGUGUAAAGGGCGUGUAGGCGGAGAUUCAAGUCAGGAGUAAAAUCUAUGGGCUUAACCCAUAAACUGCUUUUGAAACUGAAUCCCUUGAGUAUCGGAGAGGCAGGCGGAAUUCCUAGUGUAGCGGUGAAAUGCGUAGAUAUUAGGAGGAACCCCAGUGGCGAAGGCGGCCUGCUGGACGACAACUGACGCUGAGGCGCGAAAGCGUGGGGAGCAAACAGGAUUAGAUACCCUGGUAGUCCACGCUGUAAACGAUGAAUACUAGGUGUGGGGGGACUGACCCCUUCCGUGCCGCAGUUAACACAAUAAGUAUUCCACCU
This 504-nucleotide ribosomal RNA is filed under the name uncultured bacterium. Its description in RNAcentral is "bacterial SSU rRNA". It matches the Rfam family "Bacterial small subunit ribosomal RNA", at positions 356 to 874 of the family's 1533-position model. The record is from RNAcentral.